Molecule: small nuclear RNA, 99 nt
Filed under: Rhinolophus ferrumequinum (greater horseshoe bat)
Lineage: Eukaryota; Metazoa; Chordata; Mammalia; Chiroptera; Rhinolophidae
Source: RNAcentral
UUGCUUCCACAACAUAUAUACUACAACUGGAAACUUACAGAGAUUAGCAUGGUCCCUGCCAAGGAUGACGUGUAAAAUGGUGAAGCAUUCUUUAUUUUC